RNAcentral lists this ribosomal RNA (253 nucleotides) under uncultured bacterium. Its description in RNAcentral is "partial 16S ribosomal RNA". It matches the Rfam family "Bacterial small subunit ribosomal RNA", at positions 524 to 776 of the family's 1533-position model. The record is from RNAcentral.
UACGUAGGUGGCGAGCGUUGUCCGGAUUUACUGGGCGUAAAGGGAGCGUAGGCGGACUUUUGAGUGAGAUGUGAAAUACUCGGGCUCAACUUGAGUGCUGCAUUUCAAACUGGAAGUCUAGAGUGCAGGAGAGGUGAAUGGAAUUCCUAGUGUAGCGGUGAAAUGCGUAGAGAUUAGGAAGAACACCAGUGGCGAAGGCGAUUCUCUGGACUGUAACUGACGCUGAGGCUCGAAAGCGUGGGGAGCAAACAGG